This 950-nucleotide ribosomal RNA is filed under the name Escherichia coli. Its description in RNAcentral is "partial 23S ribosomal RNA". It matches the Rfam family "Bacterial large subunit ribosomal RNA", at positions 417 to 1368 of the family's 2925-position model. The record is from RNAcentral. Lineage: Bacteria; Pseudomonadati; Pseudomonadota; Gammaproteobacteria; Enterobacterales; Enterobacteriaceae.
GCGGGACACGUGGUAUCCUGUCUGAAUAUGGGGGGACCAUCCUCCAAGGCUAAAUACUCCUGACUGACCGAUAGUGAACCAGUACCGUGAGGGAAAGGCGAAAAGAACCCCGGCGAGGGGAGUGAAAAAGAACCUGAAACCGUGUACGUACAAGCAGUGGGAGCCUCUUAAUGGGGUGACUGCGUACCUUUUGUAUAAUGGGUCAGCGACUUAUAUUCUGUAGCAAGGUUAACCGAAUAGGGGAGCCGAAGGGAAACCGAGUCUUAACUGGGCGUUAAGUUGCAGGGUAUAGACCCGAAACCCGGUGAUCUAGCCAUGGGCAGGUUGAAGGUUGGGUAACACUAACUGGAGGACCGAACCGACUAAUGUUGAAAAAUUAGCGGAUGACUUGUGGCUGGGGGUGAAAGGCCAAUCAAACCGGGAGAUAGCUGGUUCUCCCCGAAAGCUAUUUAGGUAGCGCCUCGUGAAUUCAUCUCCGGGGGUAGAGCACUGUUUCGGCAAGGGGGUCAUCCCGACUUACCAACCCGAUGCAAACUGCGAAUACCGGAGAAUGUUAUCACGGGAGACACACGGCGGGUGCUAACGUCCGUCGUGAAGAGGGAAACAACCCAGACCGCCAGCUAAGGUCCCAAAGUCAUGGUUAAGUGGGAAACGAUGUGGGAAGGCCCAGACAGCCAGGAUGUUGGCUUAGAAGCAGCCAUCAUUUAAAGAAAGCGUAAUAGCUCACUGGUCGAGUCGGCCUGCGCGGAAGAUGUAACGGGGCUAAACCAUGCACCGAAGCUGCGGCAGCGACACUAUGUGUUGUUGGGUAGGGGAGCGUUCUGUAAGCCUGUGAAGGUGGCCUGUGAGGGUUGCUGGAGGUAUCAGAAGUGCGAAUGCUGACAUAAGUAACGAUAAAGCGGGUGAAAAGCCCGCUCGCCGGAAGACCAAGGGUUCCUGUCCAACGUUAA